RNAcentral lists this ribosomal RNA (496 nucleotides) under uncultured bacterium. Its description in RNAcentral is "partial 16S ribosomal RNA". It matches the Rfam family "Bacterial small subunit ribosomal RNA", at positions 29 to 507 of the family's 1533-position model. The record is from RNAcentral.
AUGAACGCUGGCGGCGUGCCUAAUACAUGCAAGUCGAGCGAACGGACGAGAAGCUUGCUUCUCUGAUGUUAGCGGCGGACGGGUGAGUAACACGUGGAUAACCUACCUAAAAGACUGGGAUAACUUCGGGAAACCGUAGCUAAUACCGGAUAAUAUUUUGAACCGCAUGGUUCAAAAGUGAAAGACGGUCUUGCUGUCACUUAUAGAUGGAUCCGCGCUGCAUUAGCUAGUUGGUAAGGUAACGGCUUACCAAGGCAACGAUGCAUAGCCGACCUGAGAGGGUGAUCGGCCACACUGGAACUGAGACACGGUCCAGACUCCUACGGGAGGCAGCAGUAGGGAAUCUUCCGCAAUGGGCGAAAGCCUGACGGAGCAACGCCGCGUGAGUGAUGAAGGUCUUCGGAUCGUAAAACUCUGUUAUUAGGGAAGAACAUAUGUGUAAGUAACUGUGCACAUCUUGACGGUACCUAAUCAGAAAGCCACGGCUAACUACGUG